RNAcentral lists this unclassified non-coding RNA (255 nucleotides) under Hevea brasiliensis (rubber tree). Lineage: Eukaryota; Viridiplantae; Streptophyta; Magnoliopsida; Malpighiales; Euphorbiaceae. The record is from RNAcentral.
GGCCGUACAGGAAGAUAAUGCUGGCAAUUACGCCAAAGCCUUCCCUCUGUAUAUGAACGCCUUGGAGUACUUCAAAACUCAUUUGAAGUAUGAAAAGAAUCCCAAGAUCAAGGAAGCCAUUACCCAGAAAUUCACUGAGUAUCUGCGCCGUGCCGAGGAGAUACGUGCAGUUCUUGAUGAUGGUGGUCCUGGUCCAGCUUCCAAUGGUGAUGCAGCCGUGGCAACUAAGCCUAAGACGAAACCUAAGGAUGGAGA